This 442-nucleotide ribosomal RNA is filed under the name uncultured bacterium. Its description in RNAcentral is "partial 16S ribosomal RNA". It matches the Rfam family "Bacterial small subunit ribosomal RNA", at positions 338 to 795 of the family's 1533-position model. The record is from RNAcentral.
CCUACGGGCGGCAGCAGUAGGGAAUAUUCGGCAAUGGGCGCAAGCCUGACCCAGCAACGCCGCGUGAAGGAAGAAGGCUUUCGGGUUGUAAACUUCUUUUGAUAGGGAAGAACAGAAGACUGUACCUCUUGACUCAGCCACGGCUAACUACGUGCCAGCAGCCGCGGUAAUACGGAGGUGGCAGGCGUUGUCCGGAUUUACUGGGUGUAAAGGGCGUGCAGCCGGGAAGGCAAGUCAGAUGUGAAAGCCCGCGGCUCAACCGCGGAAGUGCAUUUGAAACUGUGGGUCUGGAGUACAGGAGAGGUCAGCGGAAUGCCGUGUGUAGCGGUGAAAUGCGUAGAUAGAAGGAAGAACACCAGUGGCGAAGGCGGAUGACUGGACGGCAACUGACGGUGAGGCGCGAAAGCGUGGGGAGCAAACAGGAUUAGAUACCCCAGUAGUC